GCUUCACUGGGGAUUUCAAUGUAUCUCACAUCCCAGCCUGGAGUCACUCAUCCUGCUUUGCGGGACACGUGGGGAAGAGGUCAAAAAUGAAAGAUGAGUGAAAACUGUCUUAUUUUUACAAGUCAUCGUGGAGAACGUGUUACAGAGUGCUUCCCUGUGUGUGACACUCGCUUUGUAGCCGUUUGGAAGACAGGAGACACAGCAAUGGGAACAUUUUAUCAUUUACCUGAGGUUUGGGGUUCUCAGCUAGUUUCAGAUUUGAC
Columba livia (rock pigeon) is the source of this 263-nucleotide long non-coding RNA. RefSeq lists it as uncharacterized. The record is from RefSeq and is a predicted model, not a curated record. Lineage: Eukaryota; Metazoa; Chordata; Aves; Columbiformes; Columbidae. The transcript is spliced from 3 exons.